UUUUCGUAGGUGAACCUGCGGAAGGAUCAUUAAUGUGUUUGGGCCUCACGGCUCUUCAUUCCGACGCUGUGCGCCUUCGGGCUGCACGCUGAGGGAGCAUAUAUCCACCCCUGUGCACACACACGGUGGCGAGCUGGGUAACGGCUCGCCGCUGAUCUUUACACACGUCUAAAAGUCAUUGUAUGUUUAUUUGAGAUAAAAACACAACUUUCAGCAACGGAUCUCUUGGCUCUC
This 234-nucleotide unclassified non-coding RNA is filed under the name plant metagenome. Its description in RNAcentral is "partial contains small subunit ribosomal RNA, internal transcribed spacer 1, and 5.8S ribosomal RNA". The record is from RNAcentral.